This 74-nucleotide transfer RNA is filed under the name Apaloderma vittatum (bar-tailed trogon). It matches the Rfam family "tRNA". From Rfam's summary of the family: Transfer RNA (tRNA) molecules are approximately 80 nucleotides in length. Their secondary structure includes four short double-helical elements and three loops (D, anti-codon, and T loops). The record is from Rfam by way of RNAcentral. Lineage: Eukaryota; Metazoa; Chordata; Aves; Trogoniformes; Trogonidae.
AGCCAGUUAGCUCAGUCGGUUAGAGCGUGGUGCUGAUAACACCAAGGUCGUGGAUUCAAUCCCUGGAUUGGCUG